UUAAACUCGUACCUUUUGCAUCAUGAUUUAGCUAGCACCCUCAAGCAAAGAGCCCUUUAGUUUGAUAACCCGAAACUAGGUGAGCUACUCCAAGACAGCCUAUCAAUUAGGGCGAACCCGUCUCUGUGGCAAAAGAGUGGGAAGAGCUUCGAGUAGAGGUGACAGACCUACCGAACCUAGUAAUAGCUGGUUGCCUGGGAACUGGAUAGAAGUUCAGCCUCAUGGCUUCUCCCUAAACCAUGAGAGUUAGUCAAAGGGGGUACAGCCCCUUUGAACCAAGAUACAACUUUUACAGGUGGGUAAAGAUCAUAAUAAUUAAGGAAAAAUGUUUGGGUGGGCCUAAAAGCAGCCAUCCCCAUAGAAAGCGUUAAAGCUCGGACAUAUAUCCUGAUAACUUUAUCUUAGCCCCCUAACCUUACCAGGCCGCCCCAUGCCAACAUGGGCGUGACCAUGCUAAUAUGAGUAAUAAGAGAGCCCUCUCUCCUCGCACACGUGUAAAUCGGAACGGACUACCCACCGAAACUUAACGGCCCCAAACAAAGAGGGUAUUGAAAAAUAACCAGAAAACCAUCCACCGUUAACCCCACACUGGUGUGCCACAAAGGAAAGACUAAAAGAAAGAGAAGGAACUCGGCAAACAAGCCUCGCCUGUUUACCAAAAACAUCGCCUCUUGCAAGAAUAAGAGGUCCCGCCUGCCCAGUGACAACUAGUUCAACGGCCGCGGUAUUUUGACCGUGCAAAGGUAGCGUAAUCACUUGUCUUUUAAAUGAAGACCUGUAUGAAUGGCAUAACGAGGGCUUAGCUGUCUCCUCUAUCCAGUCAAUGAAAUUGAUCUCCCCGUGCAGAAGCGGGGAUAAAACCAUAAGACGAGAAGACCCUAUGGAGCUUUAGACACUAGGGCAGAUCACGUUAAACAACUCCCAAUAAAGAACAAAACUGAAUGAGUCCUGCUUAAAUGUCUUCGGUUGGGGCGACCAUGGGGAAAUAAAAAACCCCCACGUGGACUGGGAGCACUCCCAAAACUGAGAGCUACCGCUCUAAUUAACAGAAAUUCUGACCAAAAAUGAUCCGGCAACGCCGAUCAACGGACCAAGUUACCCUAGGGAUAACAGCGCAAUCCCCUUUUAGAGCCCAUAUCGACAAGGGGGUUUACGACCUCGAUGUUGGAUCAGGACAUCCUAAUGGUGCAG
Molecule: ribosomal RNA, 1191 nt
Filed under: Makaira sp. KU 5420
Lineage: Eukaryota; Metazoa; Chordata; Actinopteri; Istiophoriformes; Istiophoridae
Description: partial 16S ribosomal RNA
Rfam family: Bacterial large subunit ribosomal RNA
Source: RNAcentral